AUUGAACGCUGGCGGCAGGCCUAACACAUGCAAGUCGAGCGGAUGAAGGGAGCUUGCUCCUGGAUUCAGCGGCGGACGGGUGAGUAAUGCCUAGGAAUCUGCCUGGUAGUGGGGGAUAACGUCCGGAAACGGGCGCUAAUACCGCAUACGUCCUGAGGGAGAAAGUGGGGGAUCUUCGGACCUCACGCUAUCAGCUGAGCCUAGGUCGGAUUAGCUAGUUGGUGGGGUAAAGGCUUACCAAGGCGACGAUCCGUAACUGGUCUGAGAGGAUGAUCAGUCACACUGGAACUGAGACACGGUCCAGACUCCUACGGGAGGCAGCAGUGGGGAAUAUUGGACAAUGGGCGAAAGCCUGAUCCAGCCAUGCCGCGUGAGUGAAGAAGGUCUUCGGAUUGUAAAGCACUUUAAGUUGGGAGGAAGGGCAGUAAGUUAAUAUCUUGCUGUUUUGACGGUACCAACAGAAUAAGCACCGGCUAACUUCGUA
This 484-nucleotide ribosomal RNA is filed under the name uncultured bacterium. RNAcentral describes it as "partial 16S ribosomal RNA". It matches the Rfam family "Bacterial small subunit ribosomal RNA", at positions 30 to 507 of the family's 1533-position model. The record is from RNAcentral.